Unclassified non-coding RNA from Carlito syrichta (Philippine tarsier), 276 nucleotides. It matches the Rfam family "Metazoan signal recognition particle RNA". Rfam says of the family: The signal recognition particle (SRP) is a universally conserved ribonucleoprotein. It is involved in the co-translational targeting of proteins to membranes. Lineage: Eukaryota; Metazoa; Chordata; Mammalia; Primates; Tarsiidae. The record is from Ensembl.
GUAGAAACGAGGUCUCACCGUGUUACCCAGGCUGGUCUCAAAUCCGUGGGCUCAGGCAAUCAGCUAUAGUGUGCUAUGCUGAUUGGGUGUCCACACUAAGUUCAGCAAUAUGGUGACCUCCUGGGAGCGUAGGGCCACCAGGUUGCCUAAGGAGGGAUGAACUGGCCCAGGUCAGAAACCAAGCAGGUCAAAACUCCUGUGCUGAUCAGCUGUGGGAUCUCACAUGAGAAUAGCCACCGCACUCCAGCCUGGGCAGCAUAGUGAGGCCCUGUCUUU